Molecule: small nucleolar RNA, 68 nt
Organism: Dromiciops gliroides (monito del monte)
Lineage: Eukaryota; Metazoa; Chordata; Mammalia; Microbiotheria; Microbiotheriidae
Product: small nucleolar RNA SNORD30
Exons: 1
Source: RefSeq, a predicted model, not a curated record
UGACAUGAUGUAUUUCUAGAAUCUCGUUCGUCUGAACUCCCCUGUUGAGACAUGCACAUCUGACCAGG